AAGGAUUUAAGUUAAUAUAAACUUUUAACCUUCAAAGUUAUGAAUAAAGGUAAUCUUUAAGCCUUA
Molecule: transfer RNA, 66 nt
Filed under: Pselaphinae sp. 8 EF-2015
Lineage: Eukaryota; Metazoa; Arthropoda; Insecta; Coleoptera; Staphylinidae
Description: tRNA-Trp
Source: RNAcentral